AAGAGGUUCAAGCAAACUUAACUGAUAACACUUCUGUAUAAUACUAUUUGUAUAAUACUAUUUGUGCCAGUUACGUGUUUACAAUCAAUGCUUUCUGUCUGGUAAGUUUUCUAUAUUGUAUGCACAUUAUUAAUUGUUCUUCUUUUUAGAUGCUAUUAGAAAUAAGAAAUAUGAUUUGAAGAUCAAUAAGUUCGUUUAAGUUUUUCAAGAAUUAUUAAUAUUUUUUUUUAUUCCUCUGACGAUUACUCUGUUUUUGUGUUUUAGAAUUGUCUCUGUAGAUUUUUUUAUACUUUUUUUUAAAUGAAUGCCUCUUAGGAUUAUAUUGUUUUGUGUUUUAAAUUUUUUUCUGAAGAUUAUUUUGAUUUUGUAUUUCAAGGAAGAGUAUUGUUGAUGUUAUGUUUUCAGAAUUGGAGACUAAUUUGACUUUUUUUAAUGUUAGCUCUGAAGAUUAUUUGGCUUUUGGUUUUUUAUAAAUUGCUCUGAAGAAUAAUUUACUUUAAAAAAAAUAUUAUGAAUUGCUCUGAAGAAUAAUUUACUUUAAAAAAAAAUAUUAUGAAUUGCUCUGAAGAAUAAUUUACUUUAAAAAAAAAUAUUAUGAAUUGCUCUGAUGACUAUUUUGCUUGUUUUUUUUUUUUUUUGUUGUUUUUUUUUUAAAUUGCUUUAGAGAUUUUUUUUUUGUAUUUUGGGGGAAUUUCUUUGAAGAAGAUUGUUGCUUUUUUUCUUUGGAAUGGCUCUGAAGAUUAUUUUGCUUUUGUUUAGAAAAUUCUUUUUUUUUGUCUCGCCUGUAGUGCGAGACAUAAAUGUUAAUAUUCGGUGGCUGUGGCGUAAACUAUGUGUGUAAAGCUUUAUAAUUCAGAUAGUAAAAAGACCUGGAUGCUUUAUACUUCUAAACCAAUACCUUAUGUUACUAAUUUUUGGUCUGUCAUAUAUUCAUUGUCUUUGACCUCAUUUUCAUGGGUCAGCGAGUGUUUAAAAAAAAAGGUUCAUUUUGUCAUGCGAAUAUCUCACUUUUUAUGAGUAGUUGGCGAAAUAUAUUUGGCAUAUGGGUCCAAUGGAACGUCUACACUUCGUCAGAAAGAGUUCACAUGAAUUCGACCUCAUUUCGUGAAUCAGGGAUCCAGGUUAAAGUUAUAUAGAAGUGAGAGGUUUAACUAGCUUUAAAACCAGGUUUAAUCCAACAUUUUCUACAUAAAAAAUGCCUGUACCAAGUCAGAAAUAUGGAAGUUGUUAUCCAUUCGUUUGAUGUGUUUGAGCUUUUGAUUUUGCCAUUUGAUUAGGGACCUUCUAUUUUGAAUUCUCCUCGGAGUUCAGUAUUUUUCUCAAGUACUAUGAGCAGUAAGACAACUUUAUAUGCAGUAUGGAAUUAUUGUUAGGGUACAUGUCAGUCUGGCAGGUUUCAUCUGACCUUGACCUCAAUUUCAUGGUUCAUUGGUCAAUGUUACGUUUUUUGUGUUUGGUCUGUUUUGUAAGUACUAUAAGCAAAAUAUGUCAACUAUAUUUGGUGUAUGGAAUUAUCGUAAGGUGUACAUGUUUGUCUUGCCGGUAUCAUCUGUUCCUGACCUCAUUUUCAUGGUUCGUUGGUCCAUGUUCAUUUUUUGUGUUGUGGUUGGUUUUCGAAUACUAAUAGCAAUAGGUCAGCUUCUUUUGGUGUACGGGACAAUUACAUUUUGUACAUGUCUAUUUGACAGGUAUUAUCUGACCUUGGUCAAUGAUAAGUUUUCCUAAAUUUUUUCUUCAGUCUGUUAGAUACUUUAAGCAACAGUUCAACUAUAAUUGGUGUAUUGUAUGGUUGUAAGGUGUACAUUUGUCUGGCCUGGUUCAUUUGACCAUGACCUCAUUAUCACAAAACAUUGAUAAUGUUAAGUUUAAGCGAUACUUUUAGUAAACCCCUCAUGUUACAAACUUUCAACAUAUAUUCAACGAUAAGUAAAACAGGAGAGUCACUUCAACGUGUGGAUUCUUGUUAUGAAUUGCUAUAAAUAUUUUUUUUUUUUUUUUUUUCGUUUUUCAAUGAAUUAUUUUGAAGAUUAUUUGCUUAUUUUUUAUUUUUAGGAAUAGCUCAGAAGAUUAUUUGGUCUUUAGGAUUUUUUGUUCAGGAACUACUGUACAUUUUGUUUUUAUUUUUUGAAAGGAUUUGAUACGAAUAUUAUUUACUAAUUCUUUUUGGGAAUGUUUUUUGCAGAUCAUUUUGUGUUGGUUACUUUUAAAAUGAUUGGCUUCAAGGUUUUUAUUUUUCAGAAAUGGCUUUGAGGAAUAUUUUGUUUGCUCUUGUUGUUAUCUCAACUUAUUUGAAUCUUGUAAGUUCAGACGGAGGUACAUGUAAAACUACAUUUGAGAACAAAGAAGUAGAAAUUAAUUAUGGCGAUACAGUUUGGCUGAACCCUUGCCUUUUUUGUUGGUGCUAUGAAGAUACCGAAGAAGCCGGGUGUAAUACUGUAGACUGUCAUUCAUGGAGUUGUGAUUACGGUCUCAAACUGACAUAUCUGGACGGACACUGUUGUCCUUCUUGUCUUCCAACUGAUCAGUGAUUUUAUAGCAUUUAUAUCAUAUAACAGUUAGCCUCUAUACAACUAUACACAUGGAAAAAAGUAUUGCAACACCGAAUUGAAAUUCAAGUUAAAAAAACGCUCUUUAGUUUUUUGGGAUAUAAUUUGUUGAAAUAGAACUAGUUAAACAUUACUUAAAUCUCACCUGAGUUUAAUCAAUAAAUAUCGACUCGAUAAGUUCUUAUCUGCACAUGCAGCUACUGUACCCUUACACAAUAAAACAGAUGUUUUUAUCGUCAUUGUUUUCAACACUAUAAAUAACCAAGUUUAUAAAGUUAUGUGAUUGACACCUUGUAAUGGGUCCUCCACAACUCUUAACUGCAGCAAGAGGGCAGAUUAUUAGCAUGAGAGAAGCAGGUAUGUCGCUGUGACAAUUGCACGUAUUGUUGGUCAUCACCAUUCCACUAUAAGUCGUUUUGAGAAUAAAAAUCAGGCAACAAACGACGUUAAAGACCUUCCGAGAUCAAGAAGAACCCCUAUUACAUCUGUUAGGGAAAAUCAAGCAUACUGAAGGUUGAAAUUGGUCAGAAGGAACCCAUUAUAAGCAAUACAAUUAUAAAAAGAGAGCGGUUGACAUACAGGAGACUUUAAACAAGAACAGUUCGAGAUCGAUUCAUCGCUUCUGGUCAUCGUGACAUAAGACCAUUUCGGAGACCUUUGCUUUCGAACAGACAUACAGUGGCUCGUGUCCAAUGUAGUGCAGAGCUCGACAAAGUUGGAAAUUAGCAUCUUGGAGGAAGAUCCAUUGUUCCAAUGGAAUUCGGUUUAUCUUCCUUGGCCCGAUCAUAGCCCGGAUUUGAACCAUAUCGAGCAUAUAUGGGACCCUAUUUGGUGUUAAGUGCGCGAAAGGACACUCCCAGUUCAAACACGUCAUGAAAUAAACAUCAGGAAUGGUUGCGGUUACCUCAGCAACAAAUUAGUCGAGUGGUGGCAGGAAUCAGAAGACGUUAAGAGGCGGUUAUCCGUUUGAAUGGAGGCUGCGCCAAGUUCUAAUUCUUUGGCGUAUAACGAUCAACCAUGAUGUCAACAAUCAUCUUAAGAUUAAUUUUGGAAUGACUGACAUUGUAAAGAUCGACUACAGUAUAAGUUGUCACAGUUGUACAAAAAAUACUUCAUUUUGUUAUCAAAAUUGUGGUUAGAUAAAACAUUUUUUUUCAUACAUUUUUUUAUUCGUUUUAAUGCCAACGUUAUCAUUAAGUAUGUCUCAAUAUUAUUUUGCAAAUAUUUUAUCAUAGCCUAUCCAAAAUAAGAGGCUGAU
This 3804-nucleotide long non-coding RNA is filed under the name Mytilus galloprovincialis (Mediterranean mussel). The record is from RNAcentral. Lineage: Eukaryota; Metazoa; Mollusca; Bivalvia; Mytilida; Mytilidae.